This 671-nucleotide ribosomal RNA is filed under the name Parmelina yalungana. RNAcentral describes it as "LSU rRNA". It matches the Rfam family "Bacterial large subunit ribosomal RNA", at positions 916 to 1636 of the family's 2925-position model. The record is from RNAcentral. Lineage: Eukaryota; Fungi; Ascomycota; Lecanoromycetes; Lecanorales; Parmeliaceae.
GCUUUUUGUGGACAUUGGGGGGUCGUGAAGACUCUAUCAGUGAGUUUUUGUUCUCGGAAGGACUAGAUAUGAAUAUUGAAUAGUCAGACAUAGUACGAUAAGGUUGUAUGUCUAAAGGGAAACAGCCCAGAACAAGAGUUAAUAAGGUUCCAAAAUUAUUGUUAAGUGAAAUUAAGGCAGUAUUUAUUCCAAACAGCCAGGCAAUAGGCUUAGAAGCGGCCAUUUUCUGAAGACCUCGUAACAGAGCACUGGUUUUGUUUUAAGGAUAAAAGCACCGAAAAUUUAACGGAUCUAAACAAUAUACCGAUACCUUGUCUAAAUAUAUUAAUGUAUUUAUAUAUUACAUUGUAUAUUUGGGGUAGCAGAACAUUGGCGAAAUUUAUAAUUAUGCCUUUAUAAGGCAUAAUUUUGCCUUUUAUACAAGCAUAUUAACAAGCCAAGCGAUAAUGCUGACAUGAGUAACGAUAAAGGGGAAUACCCUCGCCUAAAGCUUAUGGAAUUUAAUUAAAGUUACGGCCUCUAAGUUUAUUAUAUAUAUAAUAAAUAAUCAGUUAUUUAUUAAUAAUCCCAAAAGGGGUAAACGAUGAGCAAAUCUAUGAUUUACAGAAGAUAACAUUUUCAUGUUUCGCAACAUAGUGACAAAUGUUCUGGAAAACUGUAUAUCUCGUUUG